GCAGCCUCGCGGACCAUAUCGUAUCGCGACACGGUCCGAUUUUGGUGAACACCGUACCUCUGACUUUGGCGCAGCCGGACUCGGUGACAUCGGACUUGGAACGAGGAACUUCGAAUGAUAAGGCACCUGUCUAUUUGAAGGUAAAGCUGCUAUCGCGAGUUGCCUUCGAGAUUAUUUUUCUCGUUAGUGGACAUUAGAUAACGACUACCCACGUCACUAUCCAAGUUGGCGGCGUCAGCCAUUACGAGUCUUAAGAAUUUGGGAGGAGAUACUCGCCGACGACCUGGAUGGAUGGUUUAAUUGGGAAGCAUCCGUCUAACAAGCGGAAGAUUCGGAUUCGAAUCCCGGUCCGACAACCCGAUCCGCCGAAUAUUUUUCUCCAGACAGUGGUACGGACAGUCGUCCGUUAGCGAGAGAUACUUUCGAGAGUAAAUUCGCGAUAGUUUUACUCUCGAAUGGAUAUCUACCUGAAAAGACUUGUUGCUGGCUGUAGAUAUCGCUGAUGGAGUACCGCUGAUUUUCUUCCGUUUUUGAUGCAUGAAGAAAAAUCGGACUUUGGUCGCUGGGAUUUGAACUCGUUCGUAACCUAAGGCGCUAACCACUGCGCUGCCGUUAGUGUCGAGGGAUGGUAUUUGCUUGUCGAGUGCCACCACAAUUUGAUUAAGGAAAUGGCACAAAGGCAAAGGAACGCCGUUCGCGUCUCCGAGGAUACAACGUGUCUCAACCAAGGUGCAUUGCAGUCCUGUAAUUGGACACCACUAAUGCACCUCAACCUCGUUUGUCGAACGUGAAGGGAAUGAAAAGGAAGAAACAGGAAAGAUCGAGCAGCCGCAAAGAACGAGAGGGAAAGAAGGAAAAAGAGGAAGGAAGGAUGGAUGGAAAGGAGAAAAUGAAAAAAAAGUGUAAGUCGAUACGGAAGGCGUCGUUAUUUGGUUUAUUCGUUCAUCCGAUCUGUUUCCCCUUUGGCUCGCUAGUUUCUACGGUGCUAGUAUAUUUUUGUUUCCUCGUUUGAACCUUCUCAUGCUUUAUUUACCGAAUACUUGUAUUUAUACUGCACGAUAUAAAGAGAAACUUUAAUUGGCCAAUUUAAUGAAAAUUUUCGGAAUUUGAAAUGUAAUGUAGUGUCGACACAAAAUCAGACGAGCAUUUCAUACGAAAUUAAUUUGUACAUCGACUUAUCGUGAUAUGAAUUGAGCAGUCCGAGAUUAAUCGCGUGU
Long non-coding RNA from Bombus terrestris (buff-tailed bumblebee), 1217 nucleotides. RefSeq lists it as uncharacterized. The record is from RefSeq and is a predicted model, not a curated record. The transcript has 3 exons. NCBI's taxonomy places the organism in Eukaryota, Metazoa, Arthropoda, Insecta, Hymenoptera, Apidae.